GAGCCCAGAGAAGGUGGGGUCUCUUCAGCCAGGGUACCCGCAGAGGCUUCCUGAAAGAGCUGCCUUCUGAGCAGGGCCCCCCGGGCUAGGAAGACGUGCACCUGCCGAGCUGGGAAGAAGAGCGUGGCCCGGAAGAGGACCCAGCAUGGACAGAGCUCACGGGAAAUAAUGGAGCCAUGUUGCAUGACAAACUGCAAAGCGUGGUGAACGUGUGAACAAGCGUCCAGGACCCAGUGAAGCCCCGGGCUACUGGGCCAGGAGUCAGUGGGUCCCACGGUGAAGUGGCAUGUCACGAGGUGAAGGAGGGGCGCCUGCAUUCCGGCCUGUGAACCAACUCGACGACCUUUGGACCUUCUGGAGCCUCAGUUUCCCAUACUGUGAGUUGGAGUGGAAUUCCCAGGGUGCUGGAGGGUGAAAGGCAUUGAGCAUUGAAGAUGCUUUGCAGACAGCAAAGACCCUCUGUGUGAGUUACGAAUUCUCACACGGGCCCUGCGGGUACUCAGGGGGAUGCUUUUAUUUCUCCAGAACAUUCUGCAGGUGAGCUGGGGAAGCCCACUGGCCCUGGCCUCACCCCCGAGCCUGAGCCUUCGGCCUGGGAAUGGUCUGGCCUCUCCCACGUCGGCCGCCAGCCUGGCCGCGCAGGACCCUGGGCGGGAAACCAGGAACCCUCGGCCAUGCCACCCGCUAUGUGCUUCCCCAAGAAGCACUCCCUGUGGCCUAAUUUGAGAAAACAAUGGGCCUCAAUCCAUAUUAAUGACC
Saimiri boliviensis boliviensis (Bolivian squirrel monkey) is the source of this 759-nucleotide long non-coding RNA. RefSeq lists it as uncharacterized. The record is from RefSeq and is a predicted model, not a curated record. NCBI's taxonomy places the organism in Eukaryota, Metazoa, Chordata, Mammalia, Primates, Cebidae.